Molecule: unclassified non-coding RNA, 213 nt
Filed under: rhizosphere metagenome
Description: partial ribosomal RNA internal transcribed spacer region
Source: RNAcentral
GUAGGUGAACCUGCGGAAGGAUCAUUACAGAGUUCAUGCCCUUCGGGGUAGACCUCCCACCCUUGAAUAUAUACCUUUGUUGCUUUGGCGGGCCGCUUCGGCUACUGGCUUCGGCUGGUGAGUGCCCGCCAGAGGACCCAAAAUUCUGAAUUAUAGUGUCGUCUGAGUACUAUAUAAUAGUUAAAACUUUCAACAACGGAUCUCUUGGUUCUG